AACUUUGUUAAACUUUGUUGAUUUGUUGAAAGUAAAAUAAAAAUUACGCUUCGAUAAUAAUGCUGUAAAAUUCACAUUCACAAGCCGUAUUGCAGAUUUUUGACUCAAUGCUGAUCAUGACCAACAACGGUACGGCCCACGGCUGAAUAUCAGCACCCACCUGCAUCCCUCCCGGCAGUACAUCUGCUUGCGCUCGUGCACGCAGGUCUCCAUGUGGAUGUACUGCUCGAACGGGUACAUGUUGAGCAGCGCCAGCACCUCGCCGCGCGUGCUGUUGGCCCAGAACGGGGCCGCCAUCUCUUCUUUAGACUCGCAUGCGUUGCUGGAAGGAGAAUGGAAGAGUUGGCGCGGCAGUUGUGCUCCACCAUGGAGAUGCGGUCGUACAGCGCCACGUGCUCCGGCUCCGUCAGCGGCACCUCGUGCGCGUUGAUCUGGAACGAAUGGGAGAUUCAUUCAGAGCUGCCUUGGUCCAAGAGAGAACCACCACUAUAGACCAGAAAUAUAUUAUUACAUAAUUUAUUUUGCUUUGUAUUUAAGUUUAUUUAUAUUUGGAAAUAGAUGGAAAUAUUUAUUGGUGUAUGCAUUUUUAUAAUCUGGUCCAGAUGAGUUUUUGAAUGUUAAAUAAAUGGUAAUUAUAGCUUUCAUGUAAGCAUACAUAUAAUUAUUUUACUUCUAUAAUGAAAUAAUUUAUUCCUAUUAUUUAGGUGCCUAAUUUUAAGAUUACAUUUAAAAUAAAAUUUCAAAUACAAUUGUUCCU
Molecule: non-coding RNA, 757 nt
Organism: Plutella xylostella (diamondback moth)
Lineage: Eukaryota; Metazoa; Arthropoda; Insecta; Lepidoptera; Plutellidae
Source: RefSeq, a predicted model, not a curated record